Molecule: ribosomal RNA, 435 nt
Filed under: uncultured bacterium
Lineage: Bacteria
Description: partial 16S ribosomal RNA
Rfam family: Bacterial small subunit ribosomal RNA
Source: RNAcentral
AACGAACGCUGGCGGCAUGCCUAACACAUGCAAGUCGAACGAUUGCCUGCGGGUGAGAGUGGCGCACGGGUGCGUAAGGCGGGGGAAUCGGCCCGUAGGUUCGGAAUAACAGCUGGAAACGGCUGCUAAUACCGGAUGAUAUCGCGAGAUCAAAGAUUUAUCGCCUGAGGAUGGGCCCGGGUUGGAUUAGGUAGAUGGGGGGGUAAAGGCCUACCAAGCCGACGAGCACUAGCUGGUCUGAGAGGAUGAUCCGCCACCCUGGGACGGAGACACGGCCCAGACUCCUACGGGAGGCAGCAGUGGGGAAUAUUGGACAAUGGGCGCAAGCCUGAUCCAGCAAUGCCGCGUGAGUGAUGAAGGCCCUAGGGUUGUAAAGCUCUUUUACCCGGGAAGAUAAUGACUGUACCGGGAGAAUAAGCCCCGGCUAACUCCGUG